AUGGCUCCCCCUACGCCAUCCUCAUCUCCCAUGCCGGUUAUGGACGCACGGAUGAGGCUGAUAAUCCAGGCAACAACACUGAUUAGUGUGAUUCAGGCAUGGGUCAUGUUCAUGCACCAGAGAGCUGUUCGUCAUGCUGGGAGUCCUUUGAUCCGCUAUGGUCCAUUGUUUCCCCGAGAACAGGAGAGGAUCCAAAAUCUGAACUACAUCUACAACUGCAAUCACGUCGAGGCUCUGUGGAUGCUUAGAAUGAAAAGAGCACCAUUUGCCAGGCUUGUCGAGACCUUCAAGAGCAGGGGCCUGUUACAAGAUAGCAUCAACACCAGUGUCGAAGAGCAGGUGGCCAUGUUCCUCCAUGUUUUUGGCCAUAACCAGAGGUUCAAGGUCAUUCACAACACGUUCAGGAUAUCAAUGGAGACCAUCUCUAGGUACUUGAAGCAUGUGCUUUUUGCUGUUGGGGAGCUUAGAGGAGAGAUGAUCAAGAGACCAUCUGGCCAGUCUCCGCCUAAGAUUCGCGGAAGCCCAAGAUGGUAUCCAUCCUUCAAGUUCAGCACUAACACAGGCUAG
Molecule: ribosomal RNA, 567 nt
Filed under: Triticum aestivum (bread wheat)
Lineage: Eukaryota; Viridiplantae; Streptophyta; Magnoliopsida; Poales; Poaceae
Description: partial small subunit ribosomal RNA
Source: RNAcentral